Camelus dromedarius (Arabian camel) is the source of this 5311-nucleotide RNA transcript. It is a transcript of the gene named UDP-GlcNAc:betaGal beta-1,3-N-acetylglucosaminyltransferase like 1, with no coding region annotated. The transcript has 9 exons. NCBI's taxonomy places the organism in Eukaryota, Metazoa, Chordata, Mammalia, Artiodactyla, Camelidae. The record is from RefSeq and is a predicted model, not a curated record.
GGCCCAAGGAGCGCGCGGCCAUGGAGGCCCGAGGGGACCCAGCCGCCGCCCCCGGCCCGGCCCGCGCCCCCGCCCAAGUGUCUGUCAUCCUCCCAGUCCACAAUGCUGAACCGUGGUUGGACGAAUGCCUCAGGUCUGUUCUGCAGCAGGACUUCGAAGGCUCCUUGGAGCUCUCCAUUUUCAAUGAUGCCAGUAAGGACAAGUCCAUGACUAUCAUUGAAAGAUGGAAAGAGGAGCUAGAGGGUUCCGGCAUCCUCGUGGUCAUUGGAGGGCACGACUCUCCUUCCCCCCGAGGAGUCGGAUAUUCUAAAAAUCAAGCAGUAGCACAGAGCUCGGGGUCUUACCUCUGCUUCUUGGAUUCGGACGACGCGAUGAUGCCGCAGAGGGUGAGGCUGCAACACGAGGCUGCUGUGCGACACCCGACAAGUAUCAUAGGCUGCCAGGUGAGGAGGGAGCCCCCUAGCUCCACCGAGCGGUACACACGUUGGCUCAACCAGCUGGCAUCCGACCAGCUGCUCAUCCAGGUGUUCACCUCCAACGGCCCCACCGUGAUCAUGCCUACUUGGUUCUGCUCCCGAGCCUGGUUUUCUCACGUGGGCCCAUUUGACGAGGGCGGGCGGGGUGUCCCCGAGGACCUGCUGUUCUUCUACGAGCACCUCAGGAAGGGCGGCGGGGUUGUCCGUGUGGACCAGAGCCUCCUCCUUUACCGCUACCACCCCGGCGCAGCCACACACUCCGUCCUCGAGUACGCGGCCUGGCCGGGCAUGGUGGGGUGCCCAAAGCCCUGGCUGGUCAGCAGGGCAGAUGCAGUGACCCCAGUCUGGUCUCUGCCCCGAGACAGGGAAUCUGGGAGCUGGGCCGUCCCUGGAGGUUGUCGGGGGCCUGGGGACCAGCGCUUCCCCAGGGCAAGGAAGGCCAGCAUCUGUCCUUCCUGAGGUCUUGUCCCCACUGUGAGCUGACAGGGCUCGGGUGACCCUGCCCCACCAGCUGCCGUGGUGACAGGGGGCUGCACAUGCACCUGCUUCUCCCCACCGAGGGGGCUGCGGGGACACAGGCUGGGCCACACCCCCUACGUCCUACGUGGGGCAUCCCCCGGGCCCCAAGGCCAGAGCCACCACGUCCCGGGUGCACUUGAGGCUGACUGCCAGGACAGGGCAGGAGACGGCGGGAAUGCAGGCGGAGGGAAGCAAGGGAGGGCGUGUUCUUACUGCUUUAUUUUGAAGUGUGCGUGCACACGUGUAUGUGUCCAUGUGCGCACGUAUGUGGCUGCUGCAUUUCACAUGACUACAAGCAUGCGUCCCCUUUGGUGCCAUCGCAAUGCUGCCCACUUAUGGGGACGGACAGCGGGGCCCUGAAGAAGGUCUGUGAUCAAGGGCUCCUCUGGAUGGAAAGAGCUUGGCGCAGAGACGUGUGUCUGUGCUUCUGGAAGGGGGCAGGCUCGUCCUCCCCCUGGAGGAGGCAACACUCGUUGGGAGGUGCGGCUUCUCAGCUUCUGCCCUGGGAGGUCUAAGGCCACUGACGCUGAGGGAGCGGCGUCCACUGCCGAGGGGCUGUGAUGCUUGCUCGUGCAGGUGCCGGGGAGAGGGGGCCGGACUGCAGCGUCCCUGAAGCUGAGGCGUAGCUUCUUUGUCUUCCAGCGCUGAGCAGAACAACUCGGUUUCUCUUCUGUUAAACCUGAAUUUUGAUACAGUAGCAUGGUGAGGUGUCAUGGUUCGGGAGUUCACUGUCAUGCACUUGAUUCAGUGCAAAUGGGAUUUGCACACAUGGGGCAAAGGUCAUCUUAGAGGGGACGUAACAAUCCUAAAUGUGUCUAUUCCUAAUCACAGAAUUUGAAAAUAAGUGAAGCAAAAACUGACAGGAAGAAAGGGAGAAACACAAAUUCACAGUUACAGGUGGAGACUUUAGUUCUCCUUUCUCAGGGGCUGAUCGAAGUAGCGGGAGUCUGUAAGGAGACAGAAGAUUUGAACAGCACUGUUACCAGCGUGACGGAACAGACAUUUACAGAGCACUGCAUUCGACUGCAGAGAACCUGUUCUUUUAAAGUGCAAGUAGACAGUACUUUGGGCCAAUAAACAAACCUGAGUAAACUUUAAAUGACAGAUCGUGCAAGAUACGUUUUACAACGUAGAAAUCAUUAACACAUCUUAAAAAUCCAAAAUACUUGGAAAUAAAGCAACCAAGAGUAAAAAAUCACAAAGGAUAUUAGAAAAAAACUAAGUUGAUGACAACAGUACUUCGGAAUUUAUGAAAUGUAGCUAAAGCAGGAUUUAUUGUAAAAUUUUACAACUUUAAAAACAUGUUACAGAAGAAACUAUAGAGUCAUCUAUGUCUCCACGUUUAAAAGUCACUAAAAGUAAACUCAAACAGCAGGAGAGAAAGGAAGAACUGAAGAUGAUGAAACUGAAAAAAACCAGCAAAGCUAAGAACUGGUUUGAAAUGAAAUCAGUACGAUUGAUAAACCUUUAAUGAGACUGACUUUGAAAAGGAAACACAGUUACCAAAUUACCAAUAUAUUGAAAUGAAAGAGGGGGCAUCGCAAGUCCAACAAACAUUUAAAGUAUAAAUAAUAAUUGAAAAUAGAUCCACAAUUUAAAACCUUGAUAAAGCCAAGUCACAUGGCUUUACUGAUACAUUCUCUCAAAAACGUAAGGAGGAAAUGAUACCAACAUAAGUUCUCUCAGGAAACAGAUGGAGAGAAAGAUCUACUGGGCGUUGGGAAGGAGCUCCCGACUCGCCUCACGAGACCAGCGUGACUGACACCGAAGUGCCACCAGAAUAUUACAGGGAAAUAAAAGUACAGACCAGUAUCCCUUCUGACAAUAGGUGCAGAAAUCACUCAUGAAAUAUUGCCAGGUCAAGUUCAGAAGCGUCUAUGAAAAAAUAAUACCUCUAUCUGGUUUAACAUUCAAAAAUCAAUUGGUACAAUUCACUGCAGUAACAGAAGAAAGAAGAAUCACGUGAUCAACCACCAACGCAGAGAAAGCACCUGACAGAAUUCAGUGCCCAUUUGUGAUUCUGCAAAACUCUCAGCAAACUAUAAAUGGAAGGAGACGUCCUCACCCUGAUGGUAUCUACACAAACCUACAUCAGCCUCGUACCUCGUGUUUAAAGACAGAAAGCCUUCCCUUCUAAGGUCAGGAGGAAGCAAGGUGAAAGUCACUGCUUCCCUUCAGCACUGCAGUGGAGGUCAGUGCAGCAAGACAAGGAAAAGGAGAGGCACAGGCUCGAGAAGUGGAGUGAAACUCGCGUCACUUGUGGGCGGCGUGACUGUGUUUCUCAAGAAAUUAGAAACAGUAACUUAGCAAGUCUUCUAGGAUGUAAGUUUAUAGACCUGCAGCAAACAAUGGAAAAACGCAGUUUAAAACAAUGUGCAAUGGCAUCGGGUCAGUUUAACAAGGCACAUGUAUGUUCUCUACAACCUGCCAAAAAGUGCUGCGGGAAAUUACAGAAAACCUGUGAUGCAGACGGAGAGAGAGGCCACCCUCACGGGAGGAGAGACUCAGUAUUGGCAACGUCACUUCUCCCCAGACUGGUCUGUAGACUCAGUGCAGUAAAAGUCCCAGCUGGCUUCUUUGUAGAAACUGAUAAUCUGAUUUUAAAAUUUACAUGAAAAUCACAAGGCCCAGAAUGGUCUAAACCACCUUGAAAACAACGAAGUUUGAGGACUCACCGUGCCCGACUCUAAGCCGUGCUCUGGAGCUACAGCGAUCAGGAGCGUGGAAUGACAGCGCAAAGACAGAUCAGUGAAGCGGAGCAGAGUCCACAGACUCAAGAUUCAAGAUUGGUUUUCAACAGUCUCCAAAGGCAUUCAACAGAAAAAGAAAAAUAUUUUCAAAAGCAUAUCCAUAUGGAAAAGAAGAAUCUCAUACCCUAGAGAGAAAGUAACUUUAGAAGGCUUAGACAGAAACACAGAAGCAGCGAAAAUGUACAGCUCCUGGGAGAAAGCAUAGGGGAGCAUCUCCACAGCGUGGGGACAAGUGAACAGUCAGCAGAGACGAGACCAGAAUCUGUAACCACUUACCAACCGGACUUCAUCAACGUUAAAAACUUCUGCUCACAAGAAUACACCAUUAGGAAAAUGGGUACGCAAGCCACAGACUGGAGGAAAGCAGCCACAAGUCUGUGCAUCUCACAGAGGGCUAGCGUGGAGGGCACGUGAAGAACCUGUAUCGCCCAAGACAAAAACAAGCAAAAUACUUCACGGGGGGCGACACUUCACACAGCGAUACCGCAUCAACAAUCAGAGACACAGUUCUACUCUGCACGCCUAAUGGAAGGGCCGACGUCAACGUCUGCAGCCCCAGACUGCGGCGAGGAUGUGGAGCUACCUCCGGACGCUCGCACGUCGUCCUCAGAAGAGGCGGCAAUGCAGCCACUCUGGAAGACUGGGGGCCUUAUUUCAUUAAUUACACUGACCCCUGCCCUCUGACCCAGCAAUUCCACGUGUAGGCGCAUAUCCUGGAGAAGUGAAUGCACUGCUCAGCGCUCACUGUCAGCAGCCGAGAGUGGAAGAGCCCAGAUGCCCCUCCAUGGGCAACGGGCGAGCCCCCUCCGCACGCAGAGCCUGCAGAAUGGCGAUUAAUUGCCAAUCUACGGUUAGAAGGAGAAGCCAGACACAAAAGCACGCACGCUGCGGCUUCCACUUACAGCAGGCUCCCCAGCAGGCAGCGCUGGUGCACGGUGCACGGGAGAGAUGGGCUUCCUCUGGGGAAGGGGGACCUUCUGGGGGGUGCAGGUGUUACAUGGACGCGUACGUCUGUCAUAACUGACCGACCCUGUGUGCACUGAACGUCCUUGCUCCUACCCCCUGUAAACUGCCUGCAUUCGAGUUACUAAGAUACUGGCAAAUGCUUCUUCAAAGGAGUAACCACAUUCCCACCAUCCGUAAAUGGAACGGGAAACUGGGUGAACAGAGUACAAAGGUGGUUACGGGCCCGCAGAGCCAAGAAAAGCCAGGACGCCUGGAACCCCUCCGGGCCUCCCACACGCACCCUCACUUUGAGCUCCUGGGAAGCAAGGUGAGGUGAGGCGGCUCCGUGAGGGCCUGGUGGUGGCCUCCUCCCGGGUGUCGGGGCCCGGCAGCUGGCCAGAGAGCUGAGCCACACACCGCAUCCUGUUUGCAUGUGAUUGUCUUUCAUGUUGAGACCUUUCUCUCUUUUUGCAGCGUGAGGUUUUGCCACCCACAAGGUAGAAGAAGUGAUCUCAUGUCAGUUUCUGUGUCGGAUUAAAGUCUUUGCGCAGCAAAACCCCACAGAGCAGACCACCAUCUGGACCCACCGAGUCCGCUUCCUGGAGGAGCGGGCCCUGCCGC